GGGUUCUUCAGUAGUUAGGAGGACUCACCUUCACUCUGAGCUUCGUGGGGCUCCUUGCAAGCUCAUUUCUUACUAGUUGCUCUUCCUCCUUCAGCCUGCCGACGCACAACCUAAGCCUCUUCUAUCUAUGCGUACUUCCAAGCUUGUGCGAGGAGGUCGGUGUAGUCUUUAAAAAAAUAUUUAUCAAGAGAGAAAAUCAGACACUCAUUCUAAAGUCCUCACUUAAGAGCCGACAUGACAACCGAGCCAUCGAAGUUAUAUACUUCUAGUGUGGCCGCAUUGAAUCACACCAUGUAGUCAUGCAGUGACUCUCCCUCUCCCUGCUGGAUGGAGAAGAGGCUAUCAGAGUUCUUUGACUAUGCACAAUUAUUGCCAGAGGAUGUAACAAACUACUUUUUGAGUUACUCGAAUGAAUGAAUAGACUUCAGUUGUGGAACAAAGUAGCAUAUCCUGUUGGAUUUCGAUUAUGCAACAGAAUGUUUUCAUUUUUUUUAACAUGCUACUAACUCUUCAAAAUAAGCAAACCAAAACCCAAUCCUAGGUAGACCUUGUUAAUGUCAAUCAAACACAAUAUAAAUAAUAAUCAGGUAAGAAGUAUACCUCCAAUCAGAUGAUAGUCUGAUACUAGUAUGAUCUCUACUAGACAUCCAAGUUGAUGCCCUCCAACGAUAGUCCACAUAGGAACUAAUCAUAGACCUUCCCAAUCUUUUAUUACACCAAAAAUCCUUUAUAAGAAUUCAGCAAUUCCUCCUCAAGGAUGAAAUGCACCGCAACCUGAGAGCUUUUUAUCCUUCACAAGGAACACCCAUAAAACCUUUUAAAGUCUUCUCUAAAAAGAAUAGUACACCA
This 849-nucleotide long non-coding RNA is filed under the name Elaeis guineensis (African oil palm). RNAcentral's name for it is "long non-coding RNA (EGUI_LNC053984)". The record is from RNAcentral. Lineage: Eukaryota; Viridiplantae; Streptophyta; Magnoliopsida; Arecales; Arecaceae.